UGCCACCUCUCCUGUGCUAUUUAAACAGCCCUCCCUCCCCCCACUGGCCAGCUGGCUGCCUCUGCAACAUGCUGCAGGUUGUUCAGGAGUUCUUCAAGAAGCUGAGCCGAAAGUGUGAGCUGUGCCACGACUGUGCAGAAGGCCCAUCCGCCCCUCGGAGGACUCAGAAGCCUGUUAAAUGCAUCACCUCCCUCAGCACGCAUUAUGGGAAUGGGGGCUUUUUGGUGCACCGGAAAUUUGAUCUCAUGGCUGAUUUAUUCUCCUACCUGGUCUUUGUUUUUUAAAAAGGCUUUGUUGUCCCUCUGGCUCUGGUUGGGCACACAGAAAGUGUCCCAUUUCAGUAGGCCUCUUGUCUUGGGAGGCCUGAUGUAAAGAAAGAUCUCUUUGGAAGGCAAAUGAUUCUGAGCUCCAUGCUGCAUUGCUUUGAGAUCGCUUUGUUUUAUGAUGGAAAAGGCUACCUGACUGCUGACAUCACAACAACUAUUUCAGAUUGGUUGAAUGUUGACCUUGUGCUCAGUGCUUGGACAUAGUGCAGUUUCACAUAUCAUUAUCAAGUCCUCAUACACAAUAAACCCACAACUCAUAUCCCA
Heteronotia binoei (common prickly gecko) is the source of this 590-nucleotide long non-coding RNA. RefSeq lists it as uncharacterized. The record is from RefSeq and is a predicted model, not a curated record. The transcript is spliced from 3 exons. Lineage: Eukaryota; Metazoa; Chordata; Lepidosauria; Squamata; Gekkonidae.